RNAcentral lists this ribosomal RNA (445 nucleotides) under uncultured bacterium. RNAcentral's name for it is "partial 16S ribosomal RNA". It matches the Rfam family "Bacterial small subunit ribosomal RNA", at positions 354 to 796 of the family's 1533-position model. The record is from RNAcentral.
GUGAGGAAUAUUGCGCAAUGGAGGCAACUCUGACGCAGCCAUGCCGCGUGCAGGAAGAAGGCGCUACGCGUUGUAAACUGCUUUUAACCGGGAAGAAACCCCAGGACGUGUCCUGGGUUGACGGUACCGGAGGAAUAAGCACCGGCUAACUUCGUGCCAGCAGCCGCGGUAAUACGAAGGGUGCAAGCGUUAUCCGGAUUCAUUGGGUUUAAAGGGUGCGUAGGCGGAGCGUUAAGUCAGUGGUGAAAUCCUGCAGCUUAACUGUGGACUUGCCAUUGAUACUGGCGCUCUUGAGUGCGCUUGAAGUGGGCGGAAUGUGCCGUGUAGCGGUGAAAUGCUUAGAUAUGGCACAGAACACCAAUUGCGAAGGCAGCUCACUAAGGCGAUACUGACGCUGAGGCACGAAAGCGUGGGGAUCGAACAGGAUUAGAAACCCCUGUAGUCC